This is a long non-coding RNA of Megalobrama amblycephala (Wuchang bream), 1226 nucleotides long. RefSeq lists it as uncharacterized. The record is from RefSeq and is a predicted model, not a curated record. The transcript is spliced from 3 exons. NCBI's taxonomy places the organism in Eukaryota, Metazoa, Chordata, Actinopteri, Cypriniformes, Xenocyprididae.
UUGAAAAUUGACAGAGCAAAACUGAUGAAGAAGGUCCAAAGCGUAAACUAAUGGAAUGAGCUGUGUGUACUUUUUUGCACUUAAAGAGUUAGUUCACCCAAAAAUGAAAAUUCUGUCAUUUAUUACUUACCCUCAUGUCACUCCACACCCAUAAGACCUUCAUUAAUCUUCAGAAAAACAAAUUAAGAUAUUUUAGUUGAAAUCUGAUGGCUCCGUGAGGCCUUCAUAGGGAACAAUGACACUUCCUCUCUCAAGAUCCAUUAAUGUCAAUAGGGUCUGGAUGCAGACGUGCACUUGCACUGUCAGACUUGCACUCUCUGACACCUGCACUUCCGCAAGUGACGUCACUGCUUGCACUCUCAGACUUGCACUGUCAGACACCUGCACUUCCGCAAGUGACGUCACUUGCAGUCGACACCGACACCUGCACUUCCGCAAGUGACGUCACUUGCAGUCGACACCUGCAGUCUUCGGUACCUGUGCCAUGUGCAAUCGGGCUGCGUAUAGUGGAACCUGUUGGAUUAAGACUUCCGAAGUCGUUCAAGAAUCAUUGAUAUGCAUCAAUCAAUAUUAUUAGUUUCAGAAAAUCCCCUUUUGCCACAGUGCACUUCAUGUUGCACUAUGUAUCACUGCAGUUUAUGCCCUGCCCUGAAGCCAACCACCCUGAAAAAAAUCAAGCAACACUGGGAAGUCCAUUUAAAAAAGGCAAUUGUUUUCCAAGACAAAAGAUUAUGUCGUUGCCAUUUGCCCUGCAGAACUGAGGCUCAUUACCAUUGCCCCAAAUGCAGCAACACUGUUCUCAGGAGAUAUGUUAUGGAAGCUCACCUUCAGAUAUGCUCAUCCUUAGAUGUAUCCCGCCCCUCUUUGGCUUCACAACCCUCUAAAACACCACCUGCACCGGUUUCUGUGUCCACAACGACACCUGCACCGGUUUCUGUGUCCACAACGACACCUGCUCCGGUUCCAUUUUCCACAAUGACACCUGCACCGGUUCCUCUGUCUGCAAAAACAGGUUCACAGUCAUCAAAAAACAAAAAUGUGAUUAAAUGCCCACAUUGUUCAGUCACUGUGCUAAAAAAGAACUUGGUAAUCCACAUUAACCGAAAACAUACUGACCAUUCGAAAGAUAUUACAAUGAAAUCACAUCUUUCUAGUCAAGUCAAGUCAAGUCAAAUUUAUUUAUAUAGCGCUUUUACAAUUGGUAAUUGUUUCAAAGCAGCUUUACA